RNAcentral lists this small RNA (107 nucleotides) under Marmota monax (woodchuck). The record is from RNAcentral. Lineage: Eukaryota; Metazoa; Chordata; Mammalia; Rodentia; Sciuridae.
ACCGCGCAUGGUGGCGCACGCCUGUAAUCUCAGCUGCUUAGGAGGCAGAGGCAGGAGGAUGGCAAGUUUGAGGCCAGCCUCAGCAGCCUAGUAAGACCCUGUCUCAA